UACGAAGGGGGCUAGCGUUGCUCGGAAUCACUGGGCGUAAAGGGUGCGUAGGCGGGUCUUUAAGUCAGGGGGGAAAUCCUGGAGCUCAACACCAGAACUGCCUUUGAUACUGAGGAUCUUGAGUUCGGGAGAGGUGAGUGGAACUGCGAGUGUAGAGGUGAAAUUCGUAGAUAUUCGCAAGAACACCAGUGGCGAAGGCGGCUCACUGGCCCGAUACUGACGCUGAGGCACUAAAGCGUGGGGAGCAAACAGG
Molecule: ribosomal RNA, 253 nt
Filed under: uncultured bacterium
Lineage: Bacteria
Description: partial 16S ribosomal RNA
Rfam family: Bacterial small subunit ribosomal RNA
Source: RNAcentral